RNAcentral lists this ribosomal RNA (497 nucleotides) under uncultured bacterium. RNAcentral's name for it is "partial 16S ribosomal RNA". It matches the Rfam family "Bacterial small subunit ribosomal RNA", at positions 28 to 507 of the family's 1533-position model. The record is from RNAcentral.
GAUGAACGCUGGCGGCGUGCCUAAUACAUGCAAGUCGAGCGAACGGACGAGAAGCUUGCUUCUCUGAUGUUAGCGGCGGACGGGUGAGUAACACGUGGAUAACCUACCUAUAAGACUGGGAUAACUUCGGGAAACCGGAGCUAAUACCGGAUAAUAUUUUGAACCGCAUGGUUCAAAAGUGAAAGACGGUCUUGCUGUCACUUAUAGAUGGAUCUGCGCUGCAUUAGCUAGUUGGUAAGGUAACGGCUUACCAAGGCAACGAUGCAUAGCCGACCUGAGAGGGUGAUCGGCCACACUGGAACUGAGACACGGUCCAGACUCCUACGGGAGGCAGCAGUAGGGAAUCUUCCGCAAUGGGCGAAAGCCUGACGGAGCAACGCCGCGUGAGUGAUGAAGGUCUUCGGAUCGUAAAACUCUGUUAUUAGGGAAGAACAUAUAUGUAAGUAACUGUGCACAUCUUGACGGUACCUAAUCAGAAAGCCACGGCUAACUACGUG